This 468-nucleotide ribosomal RNA is filed under the name uncultured bacterium. RNAcentral's name for it is "partial 16S ribosomal RNA". It matches the Rfam family "Bacterial small subunit ribosomal RNA", at positions 28 to 507 of the family's 1533-position model. The record is from RNAcentral.
GACGAACGCUGGCGGCGUGCUUAACACAUGCAAGUCGAACGGAAAGGCCCUGCUUUUGUGGGGUGCUCGAGUGGCGAACGGGUGAGUAACACGUGAGUAACCUGCCCUUGACUUUGGGAUAACUUCAGGAAACUGGGGCUAAUACCGGAUAGGAGCUCCUGCUGCAUGGUGGGGGUUGGAAAGUUUCGGCGGUUGGGGAUGGACUCGCGGCUUAUCAGCUUGUUGGUGGGGUAGUGGCUUACCAAGGCUUUGACGGGUAGCCGGCCUGAGAGGGUGAACGGCCACAUUGGGACUGAGAUACGGCCCAGACUCCUACGGGAGGCAGCAGUGGGGAAUAUUGCACAAUGGGCGGAAGCCUGAUGCAGCAACCCCGCGUGCGGGAUGACGGCCUUCGGGUUGUAAACCGCUUUCGCCUGUGACCAAGCGUGAGUGACGGUAAUGGGUAAAGAAGCACCGGCUAACUACGUG